UACGUAGGGACCAAGCGUUGUUCGGAUUUACUGGGCGUAAAGGGCGCGUAGGCGGCAAUUCAAGUCAUCUGUGAAAUCUCCGGGCUUAACUCGGAACGGUCAGAUGAUACUGCUUUGCUAGAGUGCGGAAGGGGCAAUCGGAAUUCUCGGUGUAGCGGUGAAAUGCGUAGAUAUCGAGAGGAACACCUGAGGUGAAGACGGGUUGCUGGGCCGACACUGACGCUGAGUGCGCGAAAGCGUGGGGAGCAAACAGG
Molecule: ribosomal RNA, 254 nt
Filed under: uncultured bacterium
Lineage: Bacteria
Description: partial 16S ribosomal RNA
Rfam family: Bacterial small subunit ribosomal RNA
Source: RNAcentral